Long non-coding RNA from Mus musculus (house mouse), 617 nucleotides. RefSeq annotates it as predicted gene, 35525. The record is from RefSeq and is marked validated. NCBI's taxonomy places the organism in Eukaryota, Metazoa, Chordata, Mammalia, Rodentia, Muridae. The transcript is spliced from 2 exons.
AGCUCGGAUCCCUGGGGAUGUAGCAAGGGGAAGAUCUAGUCUUCUCAAAGCCCUUGCCCUCAGUCAAGAAUGUGCCCACCGCCACCCACAGCCACCCCACCAUCCCCACUCAGCCAUGGGGGCCCCGCACAUCCACUGGGUUCUCACAGGUGCUCUGCUGCUGCUCCCCGUGAAACUGGCUGGGAAGGAAGACCUCACAGACAGGCUGCUUCAGGGCCGCUCUCUGAACUUCAGACAAUAACCUCCUUUAGUAACAUACAUUAAAUGGUCUGCUGGUCAUGCCGCUAUGCCACUGGGGCCAUGGGAGGAGCCUCUGCCGACCAGACAGCUCGGAUGGAUUUACUUAAGGCCCCCAGAACACGAAGUGACAGCCACUGAGGAAGGAUGACCCUGAUGCUGUCCUCUUCCUCACCAGCUACAUCCUCCGUGAACCCCCUCUGCCUCCUGCCAUGGCUUCCGGACCUCAGCACAGGACAAUGGGCUGGGUAAUCUGGCUGUGGCCACACUGCCUGCUGACUCAGAGGUGGUCAGUUUCAUGGGUCUCAAACAGGGACCCUUGGGUGGGUACCUACCCGCCUGGCGCAUUCCAUAGAUAACUUCCUCUUCCCAAACCCAAA